CCUACGGGAGGCAGCAGUAGGGAAUAUUGCUCAAUGGGGGAAACCCUGAAGCAGCAACGCCGCGUGGAGGAUGAAGGUUUUCGGAUUGUAAACUCCUUUUGUUAGAGAAGAUAAUGUCGGUAUCUAACUAAUAAGCACCGGCUAACUCCGUUCCAGCAGCCGCGGUAAUACGGAGGGUGCAAGCGUUACUCGGAAUCACUGGGCGUAAAGAGCGCGUAGGCGGGAUAGCAAGUCAGAUGUGAAAUCCUAUGGCUUAACCAUAGAACUGCAUUUGAAACUGUUAUUCUAGAGUAUGGGAGAGGUAGGUGGAAUUCUUGGUGUAGGGGUAAAAUCCGUAGAGAUCAAGAGGAAUACUCAUUGCGAAGGCGACCUGCUAGAACAUAACUGACGCUGAUGCGCGAAAGCGUGGGGAGCAAACAGGAUUAGAUACCCCUGUAGUC
This 440-nucleotide ribosomal RNA is filed under the name uncultured bacterium. RNAcentral describes it as "partial 16S ribosomal RNA". It matches the Rfam family "Bacterial small subunit ribosomal RNA", at positions 338 to 795 of the family's 1533-position model. The record is from RNAcentral.